Molecule: non-coding RNA, 27 nt
Filed under: Cricetulus griseus (Chinese hamster)
Lineage: Eukaryota; Metazoa; Chordata; Mammalia; Rodentia; Cricetidae
Source: RNAcentral
UCAGGUAGUGUUCCCCGAGAUUUAAAA